This 605-nucleotide ribosomal RNA is filed under the name uncultured bacterium. RNAcentral describes it as "bacterial SSU rRNA". It matches the Rfam family "Bacterial small subunit ribosomal RNA", at positions 338 to 1256 of the family's 1533-position model. The record is from RNAcentral.
CCUACGGGAGGCAGCAGUAGGGAAUCUUGCGCAAUGGGCGAAAGCCUGACGCAGCCAUGCCGCGUGAAUGAUGAAGGUCUUAGGAUUGUAAAAUUCUUUCACCGGGGACGAUAAUGACGGUACCCGGAGAAGAAGCCCCGGCUAACUUCGUGCCAGCAGCCGCGGUAAUACGAAGGGGGCUAGCGUUGCUCGGAAUUACUGGGCGUAAAGGGCGCGUAGGCGGAUAGUUUAGUCAGAGGUAAAAGCCCAGGGCUCAACCUUGGAACUGCCUUUGAUACUGGCUAUCUUGAGUACGGGAGAGGUGUGUGGAACUCCGAGUGUAGAGGUGAAAUUCGUAGAUAUUCGGAAGAACACCAGUGGCGAAGGCGACACACUGGCCCGUUACUGACGCUGAGGCGCGAAAGCGUGGGGAGCAAACAGGAUUAGAUACCCUGGUAGUCCACGCCGUAAACGAUGAGUGCUAGUUGUCGGCAUGCAUGCAUGUCGGUGACGCAGCUAACGCAUUAAGCACUCCGCCUGGGGAGUACGGUCGCAAGAUUAAAAACUCAAAAUGAAUAGACGGCGUGAGACGUCGCCGAACGGACGACACGAAGGGAAGGUUAAGG